Molecule: long non-coding RNA, 222 nt
Filed under: Elaeis guineensis (African oil palm)
Lineage: Eukaryota; Viridiplantae; Streptophyta; Magnoliopsida; Arecales; Arecaceae
Description: long non-coding RNA (EGUI_LNC032481)
Source: RNAcentral
UGAGCCCAAAAGUUCAUUUUUUUCAAUCGACAAAUUAUUUUUUUUCAUAUAUGACCUAGCCAAAAGAACCAUCUAUACACUUCAAGUUAUCUAGUUUUGAAUCUCUCGGACCCAAUGGCAUUCACUAUUUUGCUCAAAUAAUUUUUACAAAUGCAUCACACCAUACAAAUGAUAAAAAUUAAAUCCAAAUGGUAAUCAUCGAGUUUAGGUGCUCACAGCUGC